UACGGAGGGUGCAAGCGUUAUCCGGAUUCACUGGGUUUAAAGGGUGCGUAGGUGGGCAGGUAAGUCAGUGGUGAAAUCUCCGGGCUUAACUCGGAAACUGCCAUUGAUACUAUCUGUCUUGAAUACCGUGGAGGUUAGCGGAAUAUGUCAUGUAGCGGUGAAAUGCUUAGAUAUGACAUAGAACACCAAUUGCGAAGGCAGCUGGCUACACGAGUAUUGACACUGAUGCACGAAAGCGUGGGGAUCAAACAGG
This 253-nucleotide ribosomal RNA is filed under the name uncultured bacterium. RNAcentral describes it as "partial 16S ribosomal RNA". It matches the Rfam family "Bacterial small subunit ribosomal RNA", at positions 524 to 776 of the family's 1533-position model. The record is from RNAcentral.